Zonotrichia albicollis (white-throated sparrow) is the source of this 1381-nucleotide long non-coding RNA. The record is from Ensembl. NCBI's taxonomy places the organism in Eukaryota, Metazoa, Chordata, Aves, Passeriformes, Passerellidae.
CUGACAGCAUCUUCCUGACAGCGUUAUUCUGAGGAACAUUGUAACAUUGUCAAGUGCAGUAAAUCAGGUCUAAAAGGCCAGAAAAAAUGUAUUAAAUAAAACAGAGAACUGAACGACACAGAAAAUUGCCGAAAAGUUUUUUUUUUUCCUUCUUCCUUUUUUUUUUCCUGAAAAUUCUGGACAUCAGAAAAAGUAUAUGGGGACAGAGACAAGUGUUACACCUAAGGGAAUGCUCCCUCCUCCAAGCCUCUUGUCAGACACAUCUUUCUGUGGAAAAUCAAGUGGAACAUUGUCACUAGGAAGCACAGGCUGAACCAGGACAAUUGAAUUAUCUUUGGCAAAACAUGCAAAGAUGCCCUAGAAUGUAACUGCUAUUGUUGAUGCUUUUGACACUUCAGUUUUCUACAAGGAGGAAAAGUUCUUUUUUUAAACAAGUAGAUGAAUGUAUGUGCAUGUAGAUGUUGGAAGUCAUAUUCUUGUUAGAAGAAAAUUUAGCUGGUUAAAGCAGAAAGAGUGAGUGAUUUAGAAAGUUUGGGUCUUUUUCUAGAAAUGGUUUUAGUUGUGGUCACUUGCAAGGUUGUGUUGCACCUCUAACACAGUGUUAAGAAGCAGUAAGUAAAUAAAUAAAUGGAAUCACAGAAUGAAUCAGGUGGGAAGAGGCCUCUAGAAACAGUCUAGCCCAACUGCCCAGUACAGGAUUCAAGUAUUCAAUACUCUAACUAGUAAAAUGUAUCUAGAAUAGGUAAGUUUGAAUAAAUGAAUACACAAAGUAGAACAUCCACUUUGCCAGGCUGCGUUAAGUGAGGCAACAAUUAAAAAGUAACACGUGGAUUUUGUCUGUUGCAGCUGUUGUACCUGUUUAAAUAAAGGCAUCUUAUAUCUCACACUCAGCUCUGAAAGCCUGAAACUUCCAUGACAAAUUGUUCACUCUCUGAUCAGAGAAGGCUGACACUGCAAAAAGAUGUGGAUGAGCAGAGAAUCAUAUCAGUGCUUCAUCUGUGCACUUCCAGAACUGCAGGAAGAAUACAAGAGCAAACAACCUCACAAAAUAUGAUAAUGAAUGCACUGCCUACCCUUCUCUGUCAGCUUUCUGAUCUUGCAAGGCAGAAAUCUCCAAACACUCCUUUCAAUAUGCAGAGGGAGCAAUAAGUCAAUAUAACCCACAAGUAAACAAACUUUCUUAUGUCUUCUGUCAGAUUUGCUUGAAUAUUUUCAGUGGGUGGGCUCCCAGUAGUUAGGUUAAGGGUAAAUAUAAUUGUUUCUUCUAGGAGAGAAAAUAUGACAAGGAAUGUGUUUUUAAAAUGAGACUUGCAUGGAUCAUAUUUUCUUGGAACCUUACUGAAACAAUAAAGCUUUUGAGGUUAAUCUAAAUUGUUCUUCA